AUAAAAACUACUAAAAUAAUAAAUAGCUACUAUAAUGUCUGAUCAGUAAAAUAUGUAUUGCAGAUUCAAGAUGUACAAUAUCAAUAAAGUUUCAAUUGAACUCCGCAUCCCUUUAGUAAGGCAAAAAGUAAUAAUUGCUGACGUCCGCUGUACCGUGGGAAGCUAUGUGAGCAGUCUAUGAGAUAUCAUCUAAUUAAUAUACAAGGAGCAAUGCCUUCGUCAAACUGGAUACAUCAAUGCCGCUGCGGCACAACGACAAAAUAUAACAAACCUGUAGUGGUAAAUUGUAUUGUAUGAAAUCACAAUUUAUGUAAGGUAAAGUAGGCAAUAUCUUACAGAAGAUUACAGGCAUAUAAUACUGCCUUCCAGUAUUGUUGCGUCCCUGUGGCGAAUACGGUAGUUAGAGCUCCUCGCGAGGAUCGGGUUAAGGUUCGCAAGGCACUGUUAAUACUCCUGUUGUUGCUGACAUCCACAAGCUACAGUAUUCUCUUACUACCGGCGGUCCCUACGCUUAUUUGCUACCGUAAUGGUAUAAAUAAGAAAGAAAAUGGAAACGUCUUUUUUGUAAAUAGUUAGUGCUGCUAAUCCUUUUUGAAGAUUGCAAUAAUCGUUACCAACCAAAACCAAUGGUACCACCUACACCAAUGGACCAAUGGUACAAAAGACAAAAGAUUUAAGUAAACAAUCAAAUGAAUGUAGAAUAAUCAAACGUUUGCAAUUGAAGCAGGAAGUCUUACACACGCCCACAAUCUAGUACACAAUAAUUACAAUUAUCAGUUGAGAAAUGUAUAUGAAAUUUUUUAUUGUAAUUGAUAAAUAUUUUACUAUAUAAUAUAUAAAUUACAGCCUAAAUAAUAAAAAUUCAUAAAAUU
This 872-nucleotide unclassified non-coding RNA is filed under the name Melitaea cinxia (Glanville fritillary). Its description in RNAcentral is "misc RNA ENSMCXG00005011093.1". Lineage: Eukaryota; Metazoa; Arthropoda; Insecta; Lepidoptera; Nymphalidae. The record is from RNAcentral.